UACCUUUCAGUGGGGGAUAACGUAGCGAAAGUUACGCUAAUACCGCAUAUUCUGUGAGCAGGAAAGCAGGGGAUCGCAAGACCUUGCGCUGAUUGAGCGGCCGAUAUCAGAUUAGCUAGUUGGUGAGGUAAAGGCUCACCAAGGCGACGAUCUGUAGCGGGUCUGAGAAGAUGAUCCGCCACACUGGAACUGAGACACGGUCCAGACUCCUACGGGAGGCUGCAGUGGGGAAUUUUGGACAAUGGGGGCAACCCUGAUCCAGCCAUGCCGCGUGAGUGAAGAAGGCCUUCGGGUUGUAAAGCUCUUUCGGCCGGGAAGAAAUCGUAUGGGUUAAUACCCUGUGCGGAUGACGGUACCGGCAUAAGAAGCACCGGCUAACUACGUGCCAGCAGCCGCGGUAAUACGUAGGGUGCGAGCGUUAAUCGGAAUUACUGGGCGUAAAGCGUGCGCAGGCGGUUUUGUAAGACAGGCGUGAAAUCCCCGGGCUCAACCUGGGAACUGCGCUUGUGACUGCAAGGCUAGAGUACGGCAGAGGGGGGUGGAAUUCCACGUGUAGCAGUGAAAUGCGUAGAGAUGUGGAGGAACACCAAUGGCGAAGGCAGCCCCCUGGGUCGAUACUGACGCUCAUGCACGAAAGCGUGGGUAGCAAACAGGAUUAGAUACCCUGGUAGUCCACGCCCUAAACGAUGUCAACUAGGUGUUGGGUGGGUAAAACCAUUUAGUACCGGAGCUAACGCGUGAAGUUGACCGCCUGGGGAGUACGGCCGCAAGGUUAAAACUCAAAGGAAUUGACGGGGACCCGCACAAGCGGUGGAUGAUGUGGAUUAAUUCGAUGCAACGCGAAAAACCUUACCUACCCUUGACAUGUCCAGGAGCCUGAAGAGAUUUGGGUGUGCCCGAAAGGGAACUGGAACACAGGUGCUGCAUGGCUGUCGUCAGCUCGUGUCGUGAGAUGUUGGGUUAAGUCCCGCAACGAGCGCAACCCUUGUCGUUAAUUGCCAUCAUUUAGUUGGGCACUUUAACGAGACUGCCGGUGACAAGCCGGAGGAAGGUGGGGAUGACGUCAAGUCCUCAUGGCCCUUAUGGGUAGGGCUUCACACGUCAUACAAUGGUCGGUACAAAGGGUCGCCAACCCGCGAGGGGGAGCCAAUCCCAGAAAGCCGAUCGUAGUCCGGAUCGUGGGCUGCAACUCGCCUGCGUGAAGUCGGAAUCGCUAGUAAUCGUGGAUCAGCAUGUCACGGUGAAUACGUUCCCGGGUCUUGUACACACCGCCCGUCACACCAUGGGAGCGGGUUCCGCCAGAAGUAGGUAGCCUAACCGCAAGGGGGGCGCUUACCACGGCGGG
This 1345-nucleotide ribosomal RNA is filed under the name metagenome. RNAcentral's name for it is "bacterial SSU rRNA". It matches the Rfam family "Bacterial small subunit ribosomal RNA", at positions 127 to 1466 of the family's 1533-position model. The record is from RNAcentral.